UACGUAGGGUGCGAGCGUUAAUCGGAAUUACUGGGCGUAAAGCGUGCGCAGGCGGCUUGCCAAGUCAGAUGUGAAAUCCCCGGGCUCAACCUGGGAAUGGCAUUGGAUACUGGCUCGCUCGAGUGCGGUAGAGGGUGGUGGAAUUCCCGGUGUAGCAGUGAAAUGCGUAGAGAUCGGGAGGAACAUCUGUGGCGAAGGCGGCCACCUGGACCAGCACUGACACUGAGGCACGAAAGCGUGGGGAGCAAACAGG
This 253-nucleotide ribosomal RNA is filed under the name uncultured bacterium. RNAcentral describes it as "partial 16S ribosomal RNA". It matches the Rfam family "Bacterial small subunit ribosomal RNA", at positions 524 to 776 of the family's 1533-position model. The record is from RNAcentral.